Molecule: non-coding RNA, 209 nt
Filed under: Trichomonas vaginalis G3
Lineage: Eukaryota; Parabasalia; Trichomonadida; Trichomonadidae
Description: Eukaryotic large subunit ribosomal RNA
Rfam family: Eukaryotic large subunit ribosomal RNA
Source: Rfam by way of RNAcentral
CGGAGGAAAAGAAACUAACUAGGAUUCCCUUAAUAAAGGCGAUCGAAAAGGGAACAGCCCAACGUCUUAAUCCCGCAAGGGAAAUGUAGUCGGUUCACCUAUUGCACUGGUCUAAGUCAGAUGGAAUGCUGCGCGAUUCAUAGUAAAAGCCUCGUAUGACCAACCGCAAGCUUACGAUGGACCGGGGAGAGUCGGAUACUUUGAGAGUA